This is a long non-coding RNA of Panicum virgatum (switchgrass), 979 nucleotides long. RefSeq lists it as uncharacterized. The record is from RefSeq and is a predicted model, not a curated record. The transcript is spliced from 2 exons. Lineage: Eukaryota; Viridiplantae; Streptophyta; Magnoliopsida; Poales; Poaceae.
AUUUCUAUAUGUUUAUUUUGUAAUUUUAUUAGUCAAGUUUCCUGAAUGACCCUGGUUCAUAACCGUCAAAUUACAAUCUGCAUUGCACUGACAAUUUAAUAAGUACUGUCAUUUUCAUAUAUUUGUUCUGUUAUUUUUUAGCUAUAUGGAGAAUUUCUCCUUCCCGGCAAAUAUUUAUCUUACAAUUUUUCCCUUGUUGUUUUCUGUUGUUUAUUCUGAAUGCUUCUUUUCAUAUGCAUAAGAGUUUUCAUAUGCAUCAGAAUUGAAUUUUUGGUGUUAUUUAAUUUUAGUUGAUUGUGUUACAUGCUUUCUUACAAAUUCUCAAGAAGGGAGCACACUAUGUCGAGAUCAAAAGGAGUUUUCAGGAUGAUGCGCCCAUAUAAGCUGCGUGAACUGAAGUCAAAAGCUUUUUGGAGGGAACUGGUCCUCCUGGCUCGUGAGAAUUUCACAUAUCUAUGCAUUGGAGAGGGUCAAACUUGUGCUGGCAUGGUCAUUCAACAGUAAGGUGUUAGAUCAACAUAUGCUUACUGUUCGAGUUUUGGAACAUCUUGUUGGAUCAAAAAAGGUCCCAGAUUACUGUAUCGUUGUUGAUCCUUCAUGCAACUAUGGGUUCAUUCUAUGCCCAGAUGAGGACAAGACUUCGAGGCUUUGAGACCAUUAUGUCAAAGUUGGAGACGAGAAGAUCUUCAAUGUUGUUUCCAAUACUGGGUGUCUGCCUUUUCUUGAAGAUGUCAAUCAGCAUCCCAUAGGCAAGAAGUUGAUUUGCUUUUUGGUUCUCAAAACCUAAAUAUCAGAAGCUUACAGAAGCUAGGAGUCUGCACUGCUUUUCCUUUUGUUAUAUCAUUUGACAUGUUAGCCUACUCCAACUUGCUUGGAAUUAAAAGGCUUUGUUGUUGAUGUAUUUGACCUGUAGCAGCAAACUGGCAUUCAACUAUCUAACUUGUUGGUGAAACAUAAUGUUUAAGUGCUACUUUUUUAA